GUUAUGUGCCAGAGGAUGGGGCUGCGGCCGAUCAGGCCGUUGGCGAGGUAACGGCUCACCAAACCUUUGACCGGUACGGGCCAUGAGAGUGGUAGCCCGGAGAUGGACACUGAGACAGGGGUCCAGGCCCUACGGGGCGCAGCAGGCGCGAAAACUCCACACUGUACGUAAGUACGAUGGGGUUACCUCGAGUGUAGUCUGUAAAAGAUUGCUUUUCCAUAGAGUAAUAUCCUGUGGGAAUAAGAGGGGGGCAAGACUGGUGUCAGCCGCCGCGGUAACACCAGCCCCUCGAGUGGUAGGGACUUUUAUUUGGCCUAAAGCGUUCGUAGCCGUCUGUAACCGUUGCCCGUUAAAUCCAGCGUCUCAAGCGUUGGACUGCGGGCGAUACCUUACAGAUUGAGGGUGGGAUAGGUAAGCGGUAUUUCUGGGGUAGGGGCGAAAUCCUUUGAUCCCAGGAGGACCACCAGUGGCGAAGGCUGCUUACUAGAACACGCCUGACGGUCAGGAACGAAAGCUGGGGUAGCGAACCGGAUUAGAUACCCGGGUAGUCCCAGCUGUAAACGAUGCGCGCUAGGUGUUGGGUCGGCCAUGCGCCGCCCCAGUGCCGCAGGGAAGCCGUUAAGCGCGCCGCCUGGGGAGUACGGCCGCAAGGCUGAAACUUAAAGGAAUUGGCGGGGGAGCAC
This 683-nucleotide ribosomal RNA is filed under the name uncultured archaeon. RNAcentral's name for it is "bacterial SSU rRNA". It matches the Rfam family "Archaeal small subunit ribosomal RNA", at positions 194 to 879 of the family's 1478-position model. The record is from RNAcentral.